UACUAGAGUAGCACUCGCAUAUCAAUAAGCGGAGGAAAAGAAACUAACAAGGAUUCCCCUAGUAACGGCGAGUGAAGCGGGAAGAGCUCAAAUUUGAAAUCUUAAAGGGUUUCCCUUUACGAAUUGUAGUUUAAAGAAGUGUUUUCUGUUGAGGUUUUGGUAAAAGUUCUUUGGAAUAGGACAUCAUAGAGGGUGAGAAUCCCGUAUUUGACCUUUACUUUCAACUUUGUGAUACACUUUCAAAGAGUCGGAUUGUUUGGGAAUGCAGUCCAAAAUGGGUGGUAAAUUUCAUCUAAAGCUAAAUAUUGGCGAGAGACCGAUAGCGAACAAGUACCGUGAGGGAAAGAUGAAAAGAACUUUGAAAAGAGAGUUAAACAGUACGUGAAAUUGUCAAAAGGGAAGCGUUUGACACCAGUGUUGUUUUUCUGAAAAUCAAUUAAAGAACUGUUUAUGCUAAGUUGUUUAGACUUUAUCAGCUAACUGUUUAGUUUUGAGCUUUUCUUUAAUGCACUUUUCAGUUAACAAGUCAACAUCAAUUUCUUUUGCUGUAAAAAAGCUUGAGGAAGGUGGCUUGAGAUUCGUCUUAAGUGUUUAUAGCCUCUUGCCUAUGCAGUCGGAGAGAUUGAGGUCUGCAGCGUAGAUCCUUCGAGGCUAAAUGCAUUUGUGCUAAGUUAUAGCAUUUUAUAGACAACUUGUUGACUAUGAUUUGUCUUGUAGCUUACUCGCUUAUGUUAUUUUACCUACGCUUAGGAUGUUGAUCUACAGAGCGAGAGU
This 774-nucleotide ribosomal RNA is filed under the name uncultured Neocallimastigales. Its description in RNAcentral is "partial large subunit ribosomal RNA". It matches the Rfam family "Eukaryotic large subunit ribosomal RNA", at positions 20 to 631 of the family's 3401-position model. The record is from RNAcentral. Lineage: Eukaryota; Fungi; Neocallimastigomycota; Neocallimastigomycetes; Neocallimastigales.